GCCCAGACUCCUACGGGAGGCAGCAGUGGGGAAUAUUGGUCAAUGGGCGAGAGCCUGAGCCAGCCAAGUCGCGUGAGGGAGUACUGCCCUAUGGGUUGUAAACCUCUUUUGUCGGGGAGCAAAAGCCGGACGUGUCCGGCUGUGAGAGUACCCGAAGAAAAAGCAUCGGCUAACUCCGUGCCAGCAGCCGCGGUAAUACGGAGGAUGCGAGCGUUAUCCGGAUUUAUUGGGUUUAAAGGGUGCGCAGGCGGAUUUUUAAGUCAGCGGUCAAAUCGUGGGGCUCAACCCCCUCCAGCCGUCGGAACUGCCGGGCUAGAGUGGGCGAGAAGUGCGCGGAAUGCGUGGUGUAGCGGUGAAAUGCGUAGAUAUCACGCAGAACUCCGAUUGCGCAGGCAGCGCACCGGCGCCCUACUGACGCUCAGGCACGAAAGCGUGGGUAUCGAACAGGAUUAGAUACCCCAGUAGCA
RNAcentral lists this ribosomal RNA (467 nucleotides) under uncultured bacterium. Its description in RNAcentral is "bacterial SSU rRNA". It matches the Rfam family "Bacterial small subunit ribosomal RNA", at positions 329 to 795 of the family's 1533-position model. The record is from RNAcentral.